This 253-nucleotide ribosomal RNA is filed under the name uncultured bacterium. RNAcentral describes it as "partial 16S ribosomal RNA". It matches the Rfam family "Bacterial small subunit ribosomal RNA", at positions 524 to 776 of the family's 1533-position model. The record is from RNAcentral.
UACGUAGGGGGCAAGCGUUGUCCGGAUUUAUUGGGCGUAAAGAGCGUGUAGGCGGCUUUACAGGUCCGUUGUGAAAACUCGAGGCUCAACCUCGAGACGCCGGUGGAAACCGUAAAGCUAGAGUCCGGAAGAGGAGAGUGGAAUUCCUGGUGUAGCGGUGAAAUGCGCAGAUAUCGGGAAGAACACCCGUGGCGAAGGCGGCUCUCUGGAACGCAACUGACGCUGAGACGCGAAAGCGUGGGGAGCAAACAGG